Molecule: ribosomal RNA, 253 nt
Filed under: uncultured bacterium
Lineage: Bacteria
Description: partial 16S ribosomal RNA
Rfam family: Bacterial small subunit ribosomal RNA
Source: RNAcentral
GACAGAGGCCCCGAGCGUUAGGCGGAAUCACUGGGCUUAAAGCGUGUGUAGGCGGACCCCUAAGUGUCUUGUGAAAUCCCACGGCUCACCCGUGGAACUGCUGGGCAUACUGGGGGUCUUGGGCCGUUCAGGGGCGACUGGAACAAGCGGUGGAGCGGUGAAAUGCGCAGAUAUCAGGAGGAACACCGGUGGCGAAGGCGGCUUGCUGGGCCUUACCUGACGCUGAGGAGCGAAAGCGUGGGGAGCGAACAGG